GACGUAGGGCGCGAGCGUUGUCCGGAAUUAUUGGGCGUAAAGAGCUCGUAGGCGGUCUGUCGCGUCGGCUGUGAAAUCCCGAGGCUCAACCUCGGGUCUGCAGUCGAUACGGGCAAACUAGAGUAUUGCAGGGGAGACUGGAAUUCCUGGUGUAGCGGUGAAAUGCGCAGAUAUCAGGAGGAACACCGGUGGCGAAGGCGGGUCUCUGGGCAAUAACUGACGCUGAGGAGCGAAAGCGUGGGAAGCGAACAGG
This 253-nucleotide ribosomal RNA is filed under the name uncultured bacterium. RNAcentral's name for it is "partial 16S ribosomal RNA". It matches the Rfam family "Bacterial small subunit ribosomal RNA", at positions 524 to 776 of the family's 1533-position model. The record is from RNAcentral.